Molecule: non-coding RNA, 93 nt
Organism: Mycena leptocephala
Lineage: Eukaryota; Fungi; Basidiomycota; Agaricomycetes; Agaricales; Mycenaceae
Source: the annotation of a GenBank genome assembly
GCCUGUAUGGAUCAGUUGGUAGAUUGCCUUCCAUUGUUAUUCUGUGAAAAAUGGUGUCUGAAGGAGAUGGAGGUUCGAACCCUCCUGUGGGCA